This is a non-coding RNA of Triticum aestivum (bread wheat), 135 nucleotides long. The record is from Rfam. NCBI's taxonomy places the organism in Eukaryota, Viridiplantae, Streptophyta, Magnoliopsida, Poales, Poaceae.
AUUAUACUCCGUCCGUCCCAAAAUUCUUAUCUUAAAUUAAUCUAGAUAUAGAUGUAUCUAAUACUAAAACGUGACUUGAUACAUUCGUAUUUAGACAAAUUUAAGGUAAAAAUUUUGGAACGGAGGGAGUACUAA